GACGAACGCUGGCGGCGUGCUUAACACAUGCAAGUCGAACGGAAAGGCCCUGCUUGUUUGGGGUGAUCGAGUGGCGAACGGGUGAGUAACACGUGAGUAACCUGCUCUUGACUUUCGGAUAACUUCAGGAAACUGGGGCUAAUACCGGAUAGGAGCUCCUGCUGCAUGGUGGGGGUUGGAAAUUUUCGGCGGUUGGGGCUGGACUCGCGGCUUAUCAGCUUGUUGGUGGGGUAGUUGCUUACCAAGGCCUUGACGGGUAGCCGGCCUGAGAGGGUGACCGGGCACAAUGGGACUGAGAUACGGACCAGACUCGUAUGGGAGGCAGCAGUGGGGAAUCUUGCACAAUGGGCGGAAGCCUGAUGCAGAGACGCCGCGUGCGGGAUGACGGCCUUCGGGUUGUGAACCGCUUUCGCCUGUGACGAAGCGUGAGUGACAGUAAUGGGUAAAGAAGCACCGGCUAACUACGUG
Molecule: ribosomal RNA, 468 nt
Filed under: uncultured bacterium
Lineage: Bacteria
Description: partial 16S ribosomal RNA
Rfam family: Bacterial small subunit ribosomal RNA
Source: RNAcentral